AGGCAGACGGCUCAGUAACGCGUAGCUCACGUCUCUAACCUAUGGACGGGAAUAACCUCGGGAAACUGAGUAUAAUGCCCGAUAGAACAUUAUACCUGGAAUGGUUUAUGUUCCAAAUGAUUUAUCGCCGUAGGAUGGGACUGCGGCCUAUCAGUUUGUUGGUGAGGUAAUGGCCCACCAAGACUAUUACAGGUACGGGCUCUGAGAGGAGUAGCCCGGAGAUGGGUACUGAGACACGGACCCAGGCCCUAUGGGGCGCAGCAGGCGAGAAAACUUUGCAAUGUGCGAAAGCACGACAAGGUUAAUCCGAGUGGUUUCUGCUAAAGGAACCUUUUGUCGGUCCUAGAAACACCGAUGAAUAAGGGGUGGGCAAGUUCUGGUGUCAGCCGCCGCGGUAAAACCAGCACCUCAAGUGGUCAGGAUGAUUAUUGGGCCUAAAGCAUCCGUAGCCGGCUUUGUUAGUUUUCGGUUAAAUCUGUACGCUCAACGUACAGGCUGCCGGGAAUACUGCAGAGCUAGGGAGUGGGAGAGGUAGACGGUACUCGGUAGGAAGGGGUAAAAUCCUUUGAUCUAUUGAUGACCACCUGUGGCGAAGGCGGUCUACCAGAACACGUCCGACGGUGAGGGAUGAAAGCUGGGGGAGCAAACCGGAUUAGAUACCCGGGUAGUCCCAGCUGUAAACUAUGCAAACUCAGUGAUGCAUUGGCUUGUGGCCAAUGCAGUGCUGCAGGGAAGCCGUUAAGUUUGCCGCCUGGGAAGUACGUACGCAAGUAUGAAACUCAAAGGAAUUGACGG
Molecule: ribosomal RNA, 795 nt
Filed under: uncultured crenarchaeote
Lineage: Archaea; Thermoproteati; Thermoproteota
Description: bacterial SSU rRNA
Rfam family: Archaeal small subunit ribosomal RNA
Source: RNAcentral